RNAcentral lists this long non-coding RNA (2660 nucleotides) under Salmo salar (Atlantic salmon). RNAcentral's name for it is "lncRNA (ENSSSAG00000083859.1)". The record is from RNAcentral. Lineage: Eukaryota; Metazoa; Chordata; Actinopteri; Salmoniformes; Salmonidae.
CUUUAUUUUAAUUGCAAUGAUUUUAAUAACCACAUACAAAUGUCUUUAUGAAAGAGAUCAUCAAUAUGUAUAACUUUUUAUGUAACUAUCCAGAAAAGUCCCGUAUGAUGAAUAAUACAGAACCUAUUUCUGGAUUUUGAAAGUUACAUAUCUUGAAAACUUGAUUGCUGAUGGACUAAAGAAACAAAUAGCAAAAGAUUGUUUUUGGGAGGAGUUUUCCUUUUCAUAGAGGUCUUGUGGUUACGUUUUAAGUGACUCUUAAAACAGCUUGGGAGAAUGAGAGACGUUAGCAAAUAAAACAAUGUCUUCUUUUUGAUUGUCCAUAUGGUGAGGCUGUUUUUAUAUAAUUGAUUGUGAUUUAAUUCCCUCAUUCUUCAGCUCUUUUGUAAUCAAUAGCUUUAGGUCAACAGACUUCAGCUCAACAUUCCAUUGUAAAUAAUGUGUAUAAUAUUAAAGUUGAGUUUAUAGAUUUCUUUUUUUCAAGGAUAACUGCAAUAGGGACCCUGCUCAUUCUAGAAUGUACCUAUUUUGACUGUGAAAUACUAGAGAAAGAACAACGCGGAUUAAGGAUAAAACAACAAUACGGAUUAGGGAUAAAACAACAAUACGGAUUAGGGAUAAAACAACAAUACGGAUUAAGGAUUAAAAGAACAACACAGAUUAAGGAUUAAAGAACAACACAGAUUAAGGAUUAAAGAACAACACAGAUUAAGGAUUAAAGAACAACACGGAUUAAGGAUAAAACAACAAUACGGAUUAAGGAUAAAACAACAAUACGGAUUAGGGAUAAAACAACAAUACGGAUUAAGGAUUAAAAGAACAACACGGAUUAGGAUUAAAAGAACAACACAGAUUAAGGAUUAAAGAACAACACAGAUUAAGGAUUAAAGAACAACACGGAUUAAGGAUAAAACAACAACACGGAUUAGGGAUAAAAGAACAACACAGAUUAGGGUUAAAAAAUUCUGGUAACAUUCCCAAAAUUACAAAAAAUGUUUUAAAAAAUGCCAUUUGGAAGAUUUCUGGAAUCAGGAGGAAAUAAUAAAGGAAAACUGGAAUCCUCCAACCAGGAUUUCUGGAAAACCUGAAAAUGUUUGGGAAAUUACCGGAACUUUGCAACCUUAACUAUGAUGGCUGGAUUGAGUUGAUAUGCGUAGAUUGUUAUUACGUCAUCAUCAUCCCUCUUAUUCUGACCAUUCCAGUACCAUAGGUUGGAUGCAAAAUUACGGUACAUUUUCCCAGAAUUCCCAGGUUUCACAGAAAUUCUGGUUGCAGGGUUCGGGAUUGUCUACUUAUUCCCUCCUGAUUCCAGAAAUCCAGGGAAUCUUGGAAAAGUUCAAAACAGUGUUUGCAACCCUAACAGUAAGGUUUUGAAAUGCUGUCAAUAUCAGCUAUCACAGGGCCAAUGCAUACCGUACAUGGACUUGGUCACAGGGCCGAUGCAUACCGUACAUGGACUUGGUCAGGGCCGAUGCAUACCGUACAUGGACUUGGUCAGGGCCGAUGCAUACCGUACAUGGACUUGGUCACAGGGCCGAUGCAUACCGUACAUGGACUUGGUCACAGGGCCGAUGCAUACCGUACGUGGACUUGGUCACAGGGCCGAUGCAUACCGUACGUGGACUUGGUCAGGGCCGAUGCAUACCGUACAUGGACUUGGUCACAGGGCCGAUGCAUACCGUACAUGGACUUGGUCACAGGGCCGAUGCAUACCGUACAUGGACUUGGUCACAGGGCCGAUGCAUACCGUACAUGGACUUGGUCACAGGGCCGAUGCAUACCGUACGUGGACUUGGUCAGGGCCGAUGCAUACCGUACAUGGACUUGGUCACAGGGCUGAUGCAUACCGUACAUGGACUUGGUCACAGGGCUGAUGCAUACCGUACAUGGACUUGGUCACAGGGCUGAUGCAUACCGUACGUGGACUUGGUCACAGGGCUGAUGCAUACCGUACGUGGACUUGGUCACAGGCCGAUGCAUACCGUACAUGGACUUGGUCAGGGCUGAUGCAUACCGUACAUGGACUUGGUCAGGGCUGAUGCAUACCGUACGUGGACUUGGUCAGGGCCGAUGCAUACCGUACAUGGACUUGGUCAGGGCUGAUGCAUACCGUACAUGGACUUUGUCACAGGCCGAUGCAUACCGUACAUGGACUUGGUCAGGGCUGAUGCAUACCGUACGUGGACUUGGUCAGGGCCGAUGCAUACCGUACAUGGACUUGGCCAGGGCUGAUGCAUACCGUACGUGGACUUUGUCAGGGCCGAUGCAUACCGUACAUGGACUUGGUCAGGGCUGAUGCAUACCGUACGUGGACUUGGUCAGGGCCGAUGCAUACCGUACAUGGACUUGGUCAGGGCCGAUGCAUACUGUACAUGGACUUGGUCAGGGCUGAUGCAUACCGUACGUGGACUUGGUCAGGGCUGAUGCAUACCGUACAUGGACUUGGUCAGGGCUGAUGCAUACCGUACGUGGACUUUGUUAAUAAUGAACUGCUACAAAACAAUAAUAGAGAGAACUUGUCUGUAUGCAGCCAUGUGAAUGUAAAAUAUUUCUGAGGGUUUUAUUACAACUAUUGAUGAAAAAAUGGUGAUGUUGUUCACGUGACUCAGUGAAGUAACUUGUAUUUGUUUUCAAAAGCAUUAAAUGAUUUCAAUAGUCAA